UACGUAGGGUGCGAGCGUUAAUCGGAAUUACUGGGCGUAAAGCGUGCGCAGGCGGUUCGCUGUGUCCGAUGUGAAAGCCCCGGGCUCAACCUGGGAAUUGCGAUGGAGACUGCAAGGCUUGAAUCUGGCAGAGGGGGGUAGAAUUCCACGUGUAGCAGUGAAAUGCGUAGAGAUGUGGAGGAACACCGAUGGCGAAGGCAGCCCCCUGGGUCAAGAUUGACGCUCAUGCACGAAAGCGUGGGGAGCAAACAGG
This 253-nucleotide ribosomal RNA is filed under the name uncultured bacterium. Its description in RNAcentral is "partial 16S ribosomal RNA". It matches the Rfam family "Bacterial small subunit ribosomal RNA", at positions 524 to 776 of the family's 1533-position model. The record is from RNAcentral.